AGCUCAAGAGACUACGAUCGAUAGUGAGGGAGUAAAAGAAGGAGAAUUAGAGGAAGGGUUUGAUUGAAGUGGGAUGGUGCCGUAAUUAUGGGCAGCUAGGCAGCUUGCAUUGCAAAGCGAGGCUGUGAAUAGAAGGAUGUUGUAGGCAGAGGCCUAUAGUCUAUAGAGCAGGCACGUACUCUUCUAGUUUCCUUGGUGGCUAUAAACCAGCAACUAUAAGAGUUCAAGGAGUUUGGUGGAGAAGAAGCCCGACAUUUAGAUUGUAGAGCUUGCUUGGGCCAACUUUAAGGGUGGCUUGAAGUUAGGUUGAGCUCGGGCUUGAUACUUUAAACCCAACAUGGCCAAAGAUUCAACUUGGUUCAUUAAUUCUUUAUGAAUCUUGUAAAGGAAAAAAAGAAUUAAGAAUGUUGUUAAGACUUGAAUCUUUGAACUACCUUUAACCUACUCCAAAUCUUGAUCUACUCAAUAAUAAUUAGCUUGGUGAUAAAGUUUAAA
This 495-nucleotide unclassified non-coding RNA is filed under the name Hevea brasiliensis (rubber tree). Lineage: Eukaryota; Viridiplantae; Streptophyta; Magnoliopsida; Malpighiales; Euphorbiaceae. The record is from RNAcentral.